GAUGAACGCUGGCGGCGUGCCUAAUACAUGCAAGUCGAGCGAACAGAUGAGGAGCUUGCUCCUCUGACGUUAGCGGCGGACGGGUGAGUAACACGUGGAUAACCUACCUAUAAGACUGGGAUAACUUCGGGAAACCGGAGCUAAUACCGGAUAAUAUAUUGAACCGCAUGGUUCAACAGUGAAAGACGGUUUUGCUGUCACUUAUAGAUGGAUCCGCGCCGCAUUGGCUAGUUGGUAAGGUAACGGCUUACCAAGGCAACGAUGCGUAGCCGACCUGAGAGGGUGAUCGGCCACACUGGAACUGAGACACGGUCCAGACUCCUACGGGAGGCAGCAGUAGGGAAUCUUCCGCAAUGGGCGAAAGCCUGACGGAGCAACGCCGCGUGAGUGAUGAAGGUCUUCGGAUCGUAAAACUCUGUUAUUAGGGAAGAACAAAUGUGUAAGUAACUAUGCACGUCUUGACGGUACCUAAUCAGAAAGCCACGGCUAACUACGUG
This 497-nucleotide ribosomal RNA is filed under the name uncultured bacterium. RNAcentral describes it as "partial 16S ribosomal RNA". It matches the Rfam family "Bacterial small subunit ribosomal RNA", at positions 28 to 507 of the family's 1533-position model. The record is from RNAcentral.